This is a long non-coding RNA of Rattus rattus (black rat), 473 nucleotides long. RefSeq lists it as uncharacterized. Lineage: Eukaryota; Metazoa; Chordata; Mammalia; Rodentia; Muridae. The transcript has 3 exons. The record is from RefSeq and is a predicted model, not a curated record.
CUUUCAGGGAAAAAUGUUCAAGCUCUGGCGCCGUGGAAAUGAGGUUUGAAUUCUCUCCAUCACUUAUUAGUUGGAGGCCGGUCCCAACAUGGAAUAGGUUUGGCUUCUCACCCCACAAAUCAUCGCCAUGGACUUUGUGUCUAGAAACAGUCAGUUUAUAUUCAAGAAUGGACAUCAAACACUGUUUGGAAACUAUGAUGGAUGGGACUGGUUAAAGAGUAGGUUUUGGCCAGUCAAGCUGAACUCUUGUUGGAUGCUCUAAGGAGAACCCUUCAUUGGCAUGGGUACCCAUGCUCUGGAAGCAGAGCAGGAGAAUGGCAGCUGGCCCAGCUUCAGGACCUGGUGUGUCUUUCCUUCUUCAUCUCCAUUGCAUCCUCUGCCUGCAGAGGCUCUUGCUGGUGUCGCCUAUCAGGAAAUGUCUACAGCUUUCACGACACGAGCAAGAGGUGAAUUCCCAGCUGCAUGGGUUUAUA